Galleria mellonella (greater wax moth) is the source of this 1071-nucleotide long non-coding RNA. RefSeq lists it as uncharacterized. The record is from RefSeq and is a predicted model, not a curated record. The transcript has 3 exons. NCBI's taxonomy places the organism in Eukaryota, Metazoa, Arthropoda, Insecta, Lepidoptera, Pyralidae.
GGCACUCAUAAUUAAGCCUUGGUGAUGUUUUAAGAGGAACGCUACUGUGUACCCCCCGAUCAUUAAGCUUUCUUAGUCGUCUCUUACGACACCCACGGGAAAGAAAGGGGUGGCCUAUUCUAUUCCGGGACCACACGGCGUUCUUUUCAUAUCAAGCUACUGAAUUAGGUCAGCAUGCUUCUUGGUCUUGCUGUAUAAGAAACAGCGAAAAGCGAGAGACAUGGUUAUAUAAUAUAAAUCAAAUAGAACCCCAGAUGUUCUAGACAAAUGGCAAGCGAUUCUAUUGACGGAAUCGUUAUUGUUAGUGACACCAUUAGAUAGAAAGAAGUAGUGACGUCUUAUGGAUCAUUCCUUCCAAGGACUCGCAUAAAAUAUAGAUUCAAUCGAUUGUCACUUGUCUGGGAGAGAAGACCCGAUCUAGACAAGUUCGUGUACCGUUUGGGCCUACCAGAAAUCAAACCCAAUACCUCAUAGCAACAAGCCAAUACUGUGCAACGGAAGUUAUCGACUUCGGUAAGCGCUACGAGGAAUUGGUGCCAGAUAUCACAUCGCCCACGUGUCAUAUCGGCUGUGUGACUUGCAUAAUGCAUCGCAUGCAUGGGGAGCGGUCUGCGGUCGGCCUUGCCACGCCUAGUUGCGACAUAUCAUGUACUAUUUAUACAUAAUUUACGCUUGAACGUUGCUAGGUACGGCGACCUAGUACAUUGAUAUGGCGAGAAAUUGUGGAGCGCGCGCGUUGAUAGCGGAGAUCGCCCAUCCGUAAACAGUUAGGGUUGCCUACGGAUGCCUGCAGCACUAGGGUUGUCACGUGCGGGUGCAAGUGAAUUCUAGCUCACUUUAUACAGGCGUGACAGCAAGGCUUCCAACAAGUUGAAAUACAGAUACAAUAUACAUAACACUUAACAAUAUUCCCCAAGGAAUGUACGUGGGAAUAUUUACUAGUACUUGGAAAAGUCCAACCCAUUAGAGAACAAGUGAAAAUAUCUGUACCAUUUUUCGAAAUAUUAUUAAACGAAACAAGUGCUACAAUAAAAGGUGCAUUUUUAUUGAAACGAACAUGAUAUCCUGGUG